GGACGAACGCUGGCGGCGUGCUUAACACAUGCAAGUCGAACGCUGAAGACCUGGCUUUUGUUGGGUUGGAUGAGUGGCGAACGGGUGAGUAACACGUGAGUAACCUGCCCUCUUCUUUGGGAUAACGCCCGGAAACGGGUGCUAAUACUGGAUAUUCACUGAUCUUCGCAUGGGGGUUGGUGGAAAGGUUUGUUCUGGUGGGGGAUGGGCUCGCGGCCUAUCAGCUUGUUGGUGGGGUGAUGGCCUACCAAGGCUUUGACGGGUAGCCGGCCUGAGAGGGGGACCGGACACGUUGGGACUGGGAUACGGCCCAGACGCCUACGGGAGGCAGCAGUGGGGAAUAUUGCACAAUGGGCGAAAGCCGGAUGCAGCGACGCCGCGUGAGGGAUGGAGGCCUGCGGGGUGUAAACCUCUUUCGCUCAUGGUCAAGCCGCAACGGUGGGUUGUGGUGAGGGUAGUGGGUAAAGAAGCGCCGGCUAACUACGUG
This 487-nucleotide ribosomal RNA is filed under the name uncultured bacterium. RNAcentral describes it as "partial 16S ribosomal RNA". It matches the Rfam family "Bacterial small subunit ribosomal RNA", at positions 27 to 507 of the family's 1533-position model. The record is from RNAcentral.